Molecule: ribosomal RNA, 157 nt
Filed under: Podospora intestinacea
Lineage: Eukaryota; Fungi; Ascomycota; Sordariomycetes; Sordariales; Podosporaceae
Description: 5.8S ribosomal RNA
Rfam family: 5.8S ribosomal RNA
About the family: 5.8S ribosomal RNA (5.8S rRNA) is a component of the large subunit of the eukaryotic ribosome. It is transcribed by RNA polymerase I as part of the 45S precursor that also contains 18S and 28S rRNA.
Source: RNAcentral
UAAAACUUUCAACAACGGAUCUCUUGGUUCUGGCAUCGAUGAAGAACGCAGCGAAAUGCGAUAAGUAAUGUGAAUUGCAGAAUUCAGUGAAUCAUCGAAUCUUUGAACGCACAUUGCGCCCGCCAGUAUUCUGGCGGGCAUGCCUGUUCGAGCGUCA